AAACUUAGAAUAGGACGUCACCGCUCUGUAAAUUUACAUAGACAUUACAUUUCGUUCUCUUCAUUUUAGACAUAACGCUAAGCUGACUUUUUUUAUAGCACACUGAUCGAUAUCGCGGUAAAAUAAUCGUUUUUUUUAAACUAGCGAGGCAGUGAAAUCUUUGCUUUGUGCUAAAGUCAACAGUGACAGAGUUUGAGCUCAAAUAAAUGCAGUGAUGUCUCCAGCCCUUUGCAGAAGGCUGAAAGGCGAGGUUCCACAAUGGGCUCCGAUAGGCUAUUGCCAAUAAGCAUCGACAGUAUUGCACAGGCUCUCGGCCCCCACUGUCUCUCUCUAAUAGGGCUGUGCUGGGGGGAGUUGGGGUCCACGGCCAUGGCAAGAUCAGGGUGCCUCCAGAGAGAAGGCAUACGGAAGAGAGGAGGCAUCAGAGUACGGAAGGAUAACGAGGAGAGGAGGCUACACUGGUUCGGACCUAAGAAGUAGAUGGAUCUGACUGCCACACACAAUGUCCUUUCAGUGUUGGGCUUUGCUGUUACCGCCCCAUGGCACUCGCCAGAUAAGACGGCCUUCCUUGACUCAUGCAUGAAAGGGGACCAAUGGGAUGGAUGGAGUUUUGCCUUCGACCUUCACCCUUCAUCACCUCAGAUCAUAGAGGCACUGUGUUCUCUGCUUGUCUACCUGGCUAUGUCUGUAUCCGACCUUGUCUGCAUCUAUGAAAUAUCAAAGUGUGUCAGACGGCACUGAAUAGGGACAAAAGAAAGGCACCGUUAAUGAUUAACUGUUCUAAAAGCUUUGGCUUGUAUUCCCAUGGUGCCCAGUCUAUCUGCUGGCCAUGUCACAUGCUCACAGCCUUUUUCCAGCAGAUUGGAGGAAAGCUAGAGAGCAAACACAGGUGCUUUGGACUGGAGUCGCCGACGCUGUCAGGGACAACCACAAACAAGAGCAGCAAUGCCUGGCUAAAUGAGAACCCAUCCCCUUACUCGGUGCCUGGCUGGCUUAGCUAAGUCACUGACUGUCGUGCCUGGAGAUCCUCACCAUAGACCAAGUCCAAUGUCCCUCGAGAGCUCAACAACAUUUCACACUUUCCAGAGAAACAAACAAAUAAAACAAGAGGAUUGGAGUCCACUUGUUUGAAGUGAAUGCUAUUGCUGCAGGCUCAAGUAUAAUGGGAGAGAAAACCAGCUCUCACUUUCUAAAACAAACCAAAGUUGAGGCAAGGAGAAAUGCAAGGUGCUGGAAGAGACACCAAUCCUCGGAAAAUUGAAUGACAUAUCCGCACACUUUGAUGUUUCUUUCGUUGUAAUAUUAUUAAUAGUUCUGAGUUUGGAGUUGUUUUAUAAGGUUCUAUAAAUACAGUCUGGGUACUAACCAUUUCUUCCUCAAUGUCGUCUGUUCCUUUGUAAAAUGACUGAGUGCAUUUUGUAGCAUAACGUUUGAUUACACAAUCAGAUGAUAUGAUGACGUUAUCAGAACAUGACUUUCCGGCAAUGAGAUAAAUGAACAGCAUGAUAACGUGAACAAAAGCCUGUCUCUGAUUGGUCUGCCUAUGAAUAGAAAAAAGGCACCAUGAAAAGUACUCACAAUAAAGGCAAUUCAUU
Esox lucius (northern pike) is the source of this 1595-nucleotide long non-coding RNA. RefSeq lists it as uncharacterized. The transcript is spliced from 3 exons. NCBI's taxonomy places the organism in Eukaryota, Metazoa, Chordata, Actinopteri, Esociformes, Esocidae. The record is from RefSeq and is a predicted model, not a curated record.